Molecule: RNA transcript, 1179 nt
Organism: Teleopsis dalmanni
Lineage: Eukaryota; Metazoa; Arthropoda; Insecta; Diptera; Diopsidae
Exons: 6
Source: RefSeq, a predicted model, not a curated record
UCAAUUGAAAGAAAAACUAGUUAUAAAACACCAAAAAAUAAGAACCAAAAAAUAAGAACACCAAAAUAUAUUUGCCAACACUGCACAUUUGACACAUUCGGUUUUCAGUGCUGACCAUACCUUAUUUCAAGUUCUGGUGACAUUAUUAGAAAAUUAAAAAAGCCUGAAUACAGUGUUCCAAACAAGAAGCUUGAAGUAAAUACUUACUAUUACUUCAGUACGAGUUACAUACAUCAAAAACAGAAAUAAAUUCUUGAGUCUCUCAUCAAUUAAAAGAAAAGCUAGUUAUAAAACACCAAAAAAUAAGAACCAAAAAAUAAGAACACCAAAAUAUAUUUGCCAACACUGCACAUUUGACACAUUCGGUUUUCAGUGCUGACCAUACCUUAUUUCAAGUUCUGGUGACAUUAUUAGAAAAUUAAAAAAGCCUGAAUACAGUGUUCCAAACAAGAAGCUUGAAGUAAAUACUUACUAUUACUUCAGUACGAGUUACAUACAUCAAAAACAGAAAUAAAUUCUUGAGUUAAAAAGUAAGAAACCAAACAAAACAUAAUGGAUCAACAACAGAAAUUUGAAGCCACCGUAGCGAAAUUCCGCGAAAGCUUGGAAAAAGUGAAUAAGGAAAGAUCUAAAGCAAAAGUUUUAACUGAUGGUUGGCAGCCUACAAAGCAGAAGAACAAUCGACAUCAGAUAGUUUACGAACCUCGUCCUCCGUUAAAAGGGCAAAUGAAGAAGAAGAUGCCAAAUUCAAAUGACAAACUAUCUGUUGCGCAAAAGCGCAUUCUUCAAGACAGAAGAUUAAAGGCCAGGACUGUGCAGAAGAAACCAAAAAUUUUACCUGAGGACAGAGUAAAGGAGAAACAACUGAAACAAGCUUCAGCAGUCCCGCCUCAAUCAAACUAGCUACCAAAUGGCGUUUCAUUUCUAAUGUGCUACCAAUUUCAUAAAAAUCGUCACAAACUUUAAUAUGCAUCCAGUGUAUGCAAAAAAUCAACAACUCCACCGUCCAAGUAGCUCCACGCACAUGUAGAAAAUAAGGAUUAGUCGUUAAGUUUUUGCAAUGUACUUUUGUCAAAUGGAUCCCACUAAUUUGAAUGAUAUACCUAAUUAUAAUACGGAAUUUAUGGAUUUUGAGUAACUUAGUCACUUUUUUGUCGAUAGAUGUGGUCUGUUAAUGGG